AGUUGGUGGCGUGAGUUGUCUGGUUAAUUCCGUUAACGAACGAGACCUCGACCUGCUAAAUAGUCUAGCGAAUUCUCUGGAUUCGACUAAACUUCUUAGAGGGACUAUCGGUUGGUGUACCCGGUGGAAGUUCGAGGCAAUAACAGGU
This 148-nucleotide ribosomal RNA is filed under the name Cercozoa sp. RNAcentral's name for it is "partial small subunit ribosomal RNA". It matches the Rfam family "Eukaryotic small subunit ribosomal RNA", at positions 1296 to 1461 of the family's 1831-position model. The record is from RNAcentral. Lineage: Eukaryota; Cercozoa.